GGGUUGUGAGGUUAAGCGACUAAGCGUACACGGUGGAUGCCCUGGCAGUCAGAGGCGAUGAAGGACGUGCUAAUCUGCGAUAAGCGCCGGUAAGGUGAUAUGAACCGUUAUAACCGGCGAUUUCCGAAUGGGGAAACCCAGUGUGACUCGUCACACUAUCAUUAACUGAAUCCAUAGGUUAAUGAGGCGAACCGGGGGAACUGAAACAUCUAAGUACCCCGAGGAAAAGAAAUCAACCGAGAUUCCCCCAGUAGCGGCGAGCGAACGGGGAGGAGCCCAGAGCCUGAAUCAGCAUGUGUGUUAGUGGAAGCGUCUGGAAAGGCGCGCGAUACAGGGUGACAGCCCCGUACACAAAAGCGCAUGUGCUGUGAGCUCGAUGAGUAGGGCGGGACACGUGGUAUCCUGUCUGAAUAUGGGGGGACCAUCCUCCAAGGCUAAAUACUCCUGACUGACCGAUAGUGAACCAGUACCGUGAGGGAAAGGCGAAAAGAACCCCGGCGAGGGGAGUGAAAAAGAACCUGAAACCGUGUACGUACAAGCAGUGGGAGCACAGGUUUACCUGUGUGACUGCGUACCUUUUGUAUAAUGGGUCAGCGACUUAUAUUCUGUAGCAAGGUUAACCGAAUAGGGGAGCCGGAGGGAAACCGAGUCUUAAUUGGGCGUUAAGUUGCAGGGUAUAGACCCGAAACCCGGUGAUCUAGCCAUGGGCAGGUUGAAGGUUGGGUAACACUAACUGGAGGACCGAACCGACUAAUGUUGAAAAAUUAGCGGAUGACCUGUGGCUGGGGGUGAAAGGCCAAUCAAACCGGGAGAUAGCUGGUUCUCCCCGAAAGCUAUUUAGGUAGCGCCUCGUGAACUCAUCUCCGGGGGUAGAGCACUGUUUCGGCUAGGGGGCCAUCCCGGCUUACCAACCCGAUGCAAACUGCGAAUACCGGAGAAUGUUAUCACGGGAGACACACGGCGGGUGCUAACGUCCGUCGUGAAGAGGGAAACAACCCAGACCGCCAGCUAAGGUCCCAAAGUCAUGGUUAAGUGGGAAACGAUGUGGGAAGGCCCAGACAGCCAGGAUGUUGGCUUAGAAGCAGCCAUCAUUUAAAGAAAGCGUAAUAGCUCACUGGUCGAGUCGGCCUGCGCGGAAGAUGUAACGGGGCUAAACCAUGCACCGAAGCUGCGGCAGCGAACGUAUCACUUAAAGCGAUUCAGCGGGUUACGAUUGACG
Molecule: ribosomal RNA, 1219 nt
Filed under: Salmonella enterica subsp. enterica serovar Kentucky
Lineage: Bacteria; Pseudomonadati; Pseudomonadota; Gammaproteobacteria; Enterobacterales; Enterobacteriaceae
Description: partial 23S ribosomal RNA
Rfam family: Bacterial large subunit ribosomal RNA
Source: RNAcentral